This is a long non-coding RNA of Daphnia pulex (common water flea), 948 nucleotides long. RefSeq lists it as uncharacterized. Lineage: Eukaryota; Metazoa; Arthropoda; Branchiopoda; Diplostraca; Daphniidae. The record is from RefSeq and is a predicted model, not a curated record. The transcript is spliced from 3 exons.
GCAGUGCUCCAUCUGUCACCAACUGCAUUCCUCAUCGUGUAACCAAUUCGCCGUUAUGGUAUGGGCGUAUGGCGUUGUGCUCCUGUUGGUUGUUGUAUCGUUGAUGGGUGGGUCGACUGCUGGUGUAGCGAUGUGUCCUUGGUAUGGUGGAAACCGAACUACAAUGCCGCCGCCGUUCUACACAACUUACGCAACGACCAGUUCCUGCACCGAGGUCAUCAAGUACUACACUAGUAAAGCAACGGAGUUUUAGACCACAACUUACGCCGCCCCGAGCCACUACACUGAAGCAUUACUCUGUCCUGAGUUACUACACAAUCUAGGCGAUGGAGUGCUACAUGGAUACGUAUGCUGCCCAUCCUACUACACCGAGGCUCCUAAGUGCUACACCGAGGCUCCCGCUGAUUACUCCACCAUAACGGUCGAAUACUACACCGAAGCGGCAAAGUACUUCUCUGCCCUGAUCUACACAACCACAACUGAGGCGGCUAAGUAUUACGCGUCCGGAGUUGCUACGCAGAAGCUGCCCUUUCGUGCUGCUUUGAACAGAAAUACUACACUGAUGCUCCAGUCUACCAUACCACGACCGACGCUACACCUAGCUACAACACGGCAGCCCCCAAGUACUACACCGAAGAAGUCGCCUAUUACACAACUACGUACCCUGCCUAGUUUACUACAUCGAGGAAUUUAAGUAUUACCCUGCUCCUAAGUAUUCCUAAACUGAGGUUCAUAUUUAUUGCAAUUAUCUCAAUUAUGCCACCAUUACUCAUGUUGCUCCGACCAUUACACCGAAAUUCUUAAGUAUUUUUCUGGAUGUGUUGAAAGAUUUGAUGGAAUAAAAAAUGAUUGAUAAAUCAUAAGUUCAUGUCUCUAAUACAUUUACUGCUGCUGAUUACAAAUAUUCCAAAUGUUAUGUAAACUGACAAAUAAUAAAAUUUGCAAAAU